Molecule: transfer RNA, 87 nt
Filed under: Methylophaga sp. 42_25_T18
Lineage: Bacteria; Pseudomonadati; Pseudomonadota; Gammaproteobacteria; Thiotrichales; Piscirickettsiaceae
Description: tRNA-Leu
Rfam family: tRNA
About the family: Transfer RNA (tRNA) molecules are approximately 80 nucleotides in length. Their secondary structure includes four short double-helical elements and three loops (D, anti-codon, and T loops). Further hydrogen bonds mediate the characteristic L-shaped molecular structure. tRNAs have two regions of fundamental functional importance: the anti-codon, which is responsible for specific mRNA codon recognition, and the 3' end, to which the tRNAs corresponding amino acid is attached (by aminoacyl-tRNA synthetases). tRNAs cope with the degeneracy of the genetic code in two manners: having more than one tRNA (with a specific anti-codon) for a particular amino acid; and 'wobble' base-pairing, i.e. permitting non-standard base-pairing at the 3rd anti-codon position.
Source: RNAcentral
GCCGAGGUGGCGGAAUUGGUAGACGCGUUAGCUUCAGGUGCUAGUGAAUGUAAAUUCGUGCGAGUUCAAAUCUCGCUCUCGGUACCA